CCGAUUGUAGCUCAGUUGGAAGAGCGAAGGACUGUAAUCUGUAGAUAUCCUUAGGUCCCUGGUUCGAUCCCGGGCAAUCGGA
This is a non-coding RNA of Massospora cicadina, 82 nucleotides long. The record is from the annotation of a GenBank genome assembly. NCBI's taxonomy places the organism in Eukaryota, Fungi, Entomophthoromycota, Entomophthoromycetes, Entomophthorales, Entomophthoraceae.